RNAcentral lists this transfer RNA (74 nucleotides) under Zea mays. It matches the Rfam family "tRNA". From Rfam's summary of the family: Transfer RNA (tRNA) molecules are approximately 80 nucleotides in length. Their secondary structure includes four short double-helical elements and three loops (D, anti-codon, and T loops). The record is from Rfam by way of RNAcentral. Lineage: Eukaryota; Viridiplantae; Streptophyta; Magnoliopsida; Poales; Poaceae.
GUUCAUCUAGCUCAGUUGGUAGAGCGCAAGGCUCUUAACCUUGUGGUCAUGGGUUUCAAGCUCUAUGGUAGGUG